This 636-nucleotide ribosomal RNA is filed under the name Triticum aestivum (bread wheat). Its description in RNAcentral is "partial small subunit ribosomal RNA". Lineage: Eukaryota; Viridiplantae; Streptophyta; Magnoliopsida; Poales; Poaceae. The record is from RNAcentral.
AUGUGGCAUGGAGAGAGAAGCACAAGCACAGGUAACAUCACAGUUCCAAAAUUUGGUCUCUGCUGCAAGGAAGGGAAAGUUAAAUUACCACCACUGAAAGAAGCUCCGUUGUAUCUCCGACAGCUACUACGUUACAAUGAAAGAGGAGAAUCAUCAAAUUUCCGCCAGAACAUCAGGUCGUACAACUCGAUGUUCGCAUUCACUUCAAUGGGAGGAAAGGUUGACUAUGAAAUUAAUAAGCAGGCAUCUGGACCGUAUGUUUUCCGUUUGAAUGGACAGAAUUACCAUCAGAUUGGCACUUUACUUCCUAAAGAUGACGUGAUGAAACCAAAAUUUGCCCAAUUGUACAUACAUGACACAGAAAAUGAAGUGCGGAAUAGGAUUAAUGCAUCUGCUUCAACGGAGAGUAAGACACAACCAGAUGAAAACAUUGUCAAAGGACUACUGGAGAUGCUUGAUGAGCACAGUGUUUUAGUCAAAUCAUUUUGUAUGGCAAGGGACAGAUUCCAAAACCGGCGUAUUAAAGAUGUAAGACUAAGAUUGAUCAACAAAAGGUCGAAAGAUGGACGGCAAUACAACCUACCAUCUGCAUCAGAAGUCGCAGCACUAAUUAUUGGAACAAGAUGGAGAAAAUAA